Molecule: RNA transcript, 2245 nt
Organism: Populus euphratica (Euphrates poplar)
Lineage: Eukaryota; Viridiplantae; Streptophyta; Magnoliopsida; Malpighiales; Salicaceae
Gene name: RNA methyltransferase family protein
Exons: 3
Source: RefSeq, a predicted model, not a curated record
CAAUUGUGUAAAUAUAUAGGUCAGGUACUAAAUUGAGAUCUCCCCAAAAUAAAAUGGAUUUGAUCUAAAAAAACCCUUUUUAAGUAAAACGAAGCGUUUUCAACACUCUCAUCCAGCGAUAUCUCUCUGGCCUUUGCGUAGGCAAUCACCAAACUGAGCGGUGCCUCUUUCUGCCCCUGCUCCGAGCUCCGCCGUCCGGCCUUCUGCGUCGGCUGUCUCAUGUGGUGAUUACAUUGAGGAAGAGAGAUGAAGCUAGGCCUGAGCCGAGCAUGUUUUUAUAGCAGCUGUUCUGCAUCGAUUUUCUCUUCUUCAAUCCCAUCUUUAACAACAAUUAAACCAAAAAUUCCUCUCUUUUUGAGGCCGCCCACUUAUUCAGUAGCUUCAUCAGACCUUCAAAAAUGGCAUGGAUGGGCAAAAAGCCUUGCCUCCUCCGUUGGGUCGUCUUUUGUGGAGUCUGAUGAUGGCCCUGACUCCACUCUUCUGUGCCGGGAGCUAAAUUGGCUCCUAGAGGACUCACUUGAAAACCGCUCCUCCUCCUCAUGCUUUUCCUUUGCCGCUUGUAAUUAUGAUAGUUUAGAUGGAAUUGAGAAUGUCAUGUUAAGAAUAAGUUUGGAUGAUCUUUACCAGUUAUGGAAGCAGAGGAUUGAAGAGAGGAGGCCUUUCCAGUAUAUAGUAGGGUGUGAGCACUGGAGGGACUUGGUGCUGAGCGUGCAAGAAGGGGUGUUGAUUCCAAGGCCAGAGACAGAAUUGAUUGUUGAUCUAGUGAGCGAUGCGGUUUCCAAUAAUGAAGAAUUGGGACAAGGGUUGUGGGCAGAUGUAGGUACUGGUAGCGGUGCUAUUGCUAUAGGUAUUAGCAAGAUUUCGAGGAGUUAUGGGAGAGUUAUUGCCACAGAUUUAAGCCCAGUCGCAGUUUCAGUGGCAAUGUUUAAUGUGCAAAGGUAUGGCCUUCAGCAUGUGACUGAAGUAAGGCAAGGAUAUUGGUUUGAGCCGUUAAAGGAUGUUGAAGGACAACUUGUAGGUAUUGUGAGUAAUCCACCAUACAUACCUAGUGACAAUAUCUCUGGACUACAAGCUGAAGUUGGUAGACAUGAACCAAGACUUGCGUUAGAUGGUGGUGCAAGUGGCAUAGAUUAUCUUCUUCAUCUUUGCAGUGGGGCUGCUGCAAUGUUGAAACCUGGCGGAUUUUUUGCUUUUGAAACCAACGGGGAGAAGCAAUGCAAGUUUCUUGUAGAUUACAUGCAAAAUGACAUUGCAGGAAGCUUUUGUAAUUUGAACAUUGUGUCUGAUUUUGCUGGUAUCCAAAGAUUUGUGACUGGGUUCCGUCAAUGAGCAAGUAACAUAAAAUGUUUCUUUCCCAGCCACCAAGGAAGUUGCAAGACAAGUUAUGUCUGCAGUGUAACUAGAUAUAUAAGAAUGAGCAGUUUACGAGGACCUCCAUCCCUUGAGACUUUGAGAGAAAAUGGCUAGAAUUGAAUUCUCCAGCUUGGUAUCUAACUGAACCUCAAAUGUAUCAUGUAUGAUGUGAUCUGAAGCAAACAUUUGAAUCUGGACCAGAGACAUGAAAAAAGAAGUCGGCCUUCUAAGAUAGUGUGGUAAAUAAAACUCCUCCGCAGGUCAGAAUUUUGAUUUAAAAGGUAGUGAACAUCCAGAACAAGGUGAGGUUACAUUUCAUGGCAACAGAGUUUAGCCCUCGAAGGAAAUCAUUGGAGGGGCAUGGUAUGUUGAAAGGAGCCUCGAUACAGAGUUUAUUAAGUCACUAAAACCGUAUUGUACAAACCAAAUAAAAACGCUGAAGGUGGCCACAGAGGAAGUUGCAGGCUUGAUCAACAGUUGUCAAGACUCAGAUGUUGACGUGACAAAACAGCAUAUUGAAGGGAUUGUGAGGACUUUGGUUUUGGACUAUGCGAUCAUGGAAGUGAAGAGUAAUGGAAUGGCUGAGUUUGCUUCUAUUCCUAUUGAUAAAGUUUGCUGUAAAUGCAUUAGCAAGGAGGGUCUUGAAGGGAAACCAAAAGCAGAGACAGAGGCAUAAGCUUCCAUCCCGUGUGAAUUUUGUCCAUGGAUAAGUCAUUGUACACCUGAUGACAUUCUCUUCGAAGACUAGUGUCGACUACAUGUGGUUAAAUUUUCUAUUUCUCAGCAUAUUUUUCUUACAUUUAUCUCAUUGUUUUGCAGUUUAGAUGUCGAAAGUCUUGUUUUCUGGAUAUCAUAUUACCAUUUAUAUAAUAUAUUUUGCAUUUCUGCUGUU